UGAAAUGAAGAAUUUUGGCGGAGGAGAUCGUUUACCAGUGCGAUUAAAUCGCAGAAAAAUAAGAAAACAAAAUGGGAAAAAUUGAAUUGUAUGUCAGCCGUAUGAAUGCCCAAUGAGAUGGUACUAACGGCUACAUCUACUUGACCGCAUGCUACAUCAACUGUUAAAGAAUUCAGGAAACCUGCCUGAUGCAGGUGUAGGAAACCAACGGCUGGGACUUUGGAUAUCUCUGCCUAAUUAAGAAAUUAACUAUGAUGUAAUAACUUUGUACUAUAGGAAGAAGCCCAGUUUGUUUAGUCUUUGUUUUUUCAUGUCUUGCUCCGGUUUCAUUAUUUGUUAAUUAAUCCACAACAAGAAAGUUCUUUACGUACUAAGGCCCCGUUUGGUAGGGCUUCUCAAAGUGCUUCUCCACCGGUUUUUGAUGAAGCCCUACCAAAGGGUCAAUUUCAAAACGGCUUCACCACCAAAGCCGAGGAGAAGCCGCAAAACGGCUUACACUAGAGAGGAGAAGCCGAAAAAAGUGGCUUCACCGGCUUCUCCUCUCUCUCCAAGCAUUAAGUGAUCAUAAAAUUAUAUAUAUUGACAUUGAGAAGCCGUUUUACCAAACGUUUUGCAAAACGGCUUCAGCUUCACUAAAAAAGCCACUCCACUGAAGAAGCCGAAGCCGAAGCCGUUUUAUGAUAAGCCGAAGCUCUACCAAACGGGGCCUAAAUAGUAUGCCUCGACUUUUU
This 731-nucleotide long non-coding RNA is filed under the name Setaria viridis. Its description in RNAcentral is "long non-coding RNA (SVIR_LNC005241)". Lineage: Eukaryota; Viridiplantae; Streptophyta; Magnoliopsida; Poales; Poaceae. The record is from RNAcentral.